UAAGGAAUCUUCCACAAUGGGGGCAACCCUGAUGGAGCAACGCCGCGUGCAGGAUGAAGGCCUUCGGGUUGUAAACUGCUUUUAUGAGCGAAGAAUAUGACGGUAACUCAUGAAUAAGGGUCGGCUAACUACGUGCCAGCAGCCGCGGUCAUACGUAGGACCCAAGCGUUAUCCGGAGUGACUGGGCGUAAAGAGUUGCGUAGGCGGUUAGUAAAGCGAAGAGUGAAAGAUGAUGGCUCAACCAUCAGAACAUUUUUCGAACUCACUAACUCGAGAAUGGUAGAGGUAGCUGGAAUUUCUAGUGUAGGAGUGAAAUCCGUAGAUAUUAGAAGGAACACCAAUGGCGUAGGCAGGCUACUGGACCAUUUCUGACGCUGAGGCACGAAAGCGUGGGGAGCGAA
This 401-nucleotide ribosomal RNA is filed under the name uncultured bacterium. Its description in RNAcentral is "bacterial SSU rRNA". It matches the Rfam family "Bacterial small subunit ribosomal RNA", at positions 355 to 772 of the family's 1533-position model. The record is from RNAcentral.